RNAcentral lists this long non-coding RNA (200 nucleotides) under Capsicum annuum. RNAcentral's name for it is "long non-coding RNA (CANN_LNC014341)". Lineage: Eukaryota; Viridiplantae; Streptophyta; Magnoliopsida; Solanales; Solanaceae. The record is from RNAcentral.
CAAUAUUUCAAGUGGCAAGGGUGGGGUCAUAGGGUAGUGAGUGUCCUACCCGACGUAAUGUGAUCCUAAAGGAGGGGAAAUUGUAUUAUCUUUAUGAAGAAGUGGAGUUGGAAAUCGAGUGGAAUAAUGACAACUCUCAAUAUGGAGAGUGCAUAGAACCCAAAAAUCAAGGAUAAGGAAGUAGAGAGGAUGUGUUGCCU